Molecule: long non-coding RNA, 849 nt
Filed under: Arabidopsis lyrata
Lineage: Eukaryota; Viridiplantae; Streptophyta; Magnoliopsida; Brassicales; Brassicaceae
Description: long non-coding RNA (ALYR_LNC002511)
Source: RNAcentral
GAGGUGCUUUGCUUCAACCUGCAAGGAUCUAUACUAGCUGAGAGUGUUUUCGUGUGAACCUUUUAUCAUGGAACCAAACAUUUGAAGUGGAAUAAAUCAAAGAUGAUAUACACAAAGUUUAAGCACUAUAUAAAAUCAUUAACAGUCAAAAAACAAACCUUUAAAAAAGCAUGUAAAACCUUUAAAAUACGUUGUAAAAUCCAUAACUGGAAUAAAUCAGAGAUGAUAAACACAAAGUUAAAGCAAUAAAAUCAUUAACAGUAAAAAACAAACCUUUGAAAAGCAUGUAAAAUACGUUGUAAAAUCCAGAAGUGAAAAUAAUCAGAGAUGAUAUACAGAUUUUGCUUGAAUAAAGCUUCUAAAAAACAGAGAUCAGUUACCUGAAAUUGACAGAGCCGGACACAGAGAGAGAGAUACAGAUCUCGCUUAAAAAAUCGAAUCCAGCAGAUCUCGCUUAGAACGAUAGAAAAUCGUUACAGGUUGAAAAUUAAACACAUCACAAGGGAGAGAACAGAUCUAAGAAUAGAGAAACAGAUUUAGGAAUAGAUCGUUGCGCGAUUAUGUUGAUCGAUUGGAACUAAUCUAGAUCUAGAUCUAGGAAUAGAGAAAGAGAGAGAGAGAGAGAGAGAGAGAGAGAGAGAGAGAGAGAGAUAGCCGCUCGAUGGAAGAGAAAGAGAGAGGAAGACAAAAAAAAAAUCUGAUUCUAGGGUUGAAAAGGGGAAGGGUAUUUUGGUCAGUUUAGACAUUUUUGAAGGGCAUUUUUAAAAAUCACCAGCUUAAAGGGGUAUUAUUAAAAAAGGGGUAUUAUUAAAAAAGGGCAUAUGAAAGGGGGCAUUAUUAAUAAUUUCC